ACAGAGGGGGCAAGCGUUAUUCGGAAUUAUUGGGCGUAAAGGGCGCGUAGGCGGCUUUGCAAGUGACGGGUGAAAGCCCUCGGCUUAACCGAGGAACUGCCUGUCAGACUGUGAGGCUUGAGACCGGGAGAGGUGAGUGGAAUUCCCAGUGUAGCGGUGAAAUGCGUAGAUAUUGGGAAGAACACCAGUGGCGAAGGCGGCUCACUGGACUGGUACUGACGCUGAGGCGCGAAAGCGUGGGGAGCAAACGGGA
RNAcentral lists this ribosomal RNA (253 nucleotides) under uncultured prokaryote. Its description in RNAcentral is "partial 16S ribosomal RNA". It matches the Rfam family "Bacterial small subunit ribosomal RNA", at positions 525 to 777 of the family's 1533-position model. The record is from RNAcentral.